AACGGCGAGUGAAGCGGCAACAGCUCAAAUUUGAAAUCUGGCGUAAGCCCGAGUUGUAAUUUGUAGAGGAUGCUUCUGGGUAGCGGCCGGUCUAAGUUCCUUGGAACAGGACGUCAUAGAGGGUGAGAAUCCCGUAUGUGACUGGCUUGCACCCUCCACGUAGCUCCUUCGACGAGUCGAGUUGUUUGGGAAUGCAGCUCUAAAUGGGAGGUAAAUUUCUUCUAAAGCUAAAUACCGGCCAGAGACCGAUAGCGCACAAGUAGAGUGAUCGAAAGAUGAAAAGCACUUUGGAAAGAGAGUUAAAAAGCACGUGAAAUUGUUGAAAGGGAAGCGCCCGCAACCAGACUUUGCGGCGGUGUUCGGCUGGUCUUCUGACCGGUUUACUCGCCGCCGUGAGGCCAUCAUCGUCUGGGACCGCUGGAUAAGACCUGAGGAAUGUAGCUCCCUUCGGGGUGUGUUAUAGCCUCUGGUGAUGCAGCGCGUCUCGGGCGAGGUCCGCGCUUCGGCAAGGAUGAUGGCGUAAUGGUUGUCGGCGGCCCGUCUUGAAACACGGACCAAGGAGUCUAACAUCUAUGCGAGUGUUCGGGUGUCAAACCCCUACGCGUAAUGAAAGUGAACGGAGGUGGGAACUUUUUGUGCACCAUCGACCGAUCCUGAUGUCCUCGGAUGGAUUUGAGUAAGAGCAUAGCUGUUGGGACCCGAAAGAUGGUGAACUAUGCCUGAAUAGGGUGAAGCCAGAGGAAACUCUGGUGGAGGCUCGCAGCGGUUCUGACGUGCAAAUCGAUCGUCAAAUUU
RNAcentral lists this ribosomal RNA (795 nucleotides) under Pseudocercospora trinidadensis. RNAcentral's name for it is "eukaryotic LSU rRNA". It matches the Rfam family "Eukaryotic large subunit ribosomal RNA", at positions 85 to 912 of the family's 3401-position model. The record is from RNAcentral. Lineage: Eukaryota; Fungi; Ascomycota; Dothideomycetes; Mycosphaerellales; Mycosphaerellaceae.